CAGGGGAGCUUGCUCCCCGGGUGACGAGUGGCGGACGGGUGAGUAAUGUCUGGGGAUCUGCCCGAUGGAGGGGGAUAACUACUGGAAACGGUAGCUAAUACCGCAUAACCUCGAAAGAGCAAAGUGGGGGACCUUCGGGCCUCACACCAUCGGAUGAACCCAGAUGGGAUUAGCUAGUAGGUGGGGUAACGGCUCACCUAGGCGACGAUCCCUAGCUGGUCUGAGAGGAUGACCAGCCACACUGGAACUGAGACACGGUCCAGACUCCUACAGGAGGCAGCAGUGGGGAAUAUUGCACAAUGGGCGCAAGCCUGAUGCAGCCAUGCCGCGUGUAUGAAGAAGGCCUUCGGGUUGUAAGGUACUUUCAGCGGGGAGGAAGGGAUGAAGGUUAAUAACCUUCGUCAUUGACGUUACCCGCAGAAGAAGCACCGGCUAACUCCGUGCCAGCAGCCGCGGUAAUACGGAGGGUGCAAGCGUUAAUCGGAAUUACUGGGCGUAAAGCGCACGCAGGCGGUUUGUUAAGUCAGAUGUGAAAUCCCCGGGCUCAACCUGGGAACUGCAUUUGAAACUGGCAAGCUUGAGUCUCGUAGAGGGGGGUAGAAUUCCACGUG
RNAcentral lists this ribosomal RNA (611 nucleotides) under uncultured bacterium. RNAcentral's name for it is "bacterial SSU rRNA". It matches the Rfam family "Bacterial small subunit ribosomal RNA", at positions 71 to 675 of the family's 1533-position model. The record is from RNAcentral.